This 532-nucleotide ribosomal RNA is filed under the name Mycolicibacterium cosmeticum. RNAcentral's name for it is "bacterial SSU rRNA". It matches the Rfam family "Bacterial small subunit ribosomal RNA", at positions 54 to 603 of the family's 1533-position model. The record is from RNAcentral. Lineage: Bacteria; Bacillati; Actinomycetota; Actinomycetes; Mycobacteriales; Mycobacteriaceae.
CAUGCAAGUCGAACGGAAAGGCCCUUCGGGGUGCUCGAGUGGCGAACGGGUGAGUAACACGUGGGUGAUCUGCCCUGCACUUUGGGAUAAGCCUGGGAAACUGGGUCUAAUACCGAAUAGGACUCCAGCCUUCAUGGGUUGGGGUGGAAAGCUUUUGCGGUGUGGGAUGGGCCCGCGGCCUAUCAGCUUGUUGGUGGGGUAAUGGCCUACCAAGGCGACGACGGGUAGCCGGCCUGAGAGGGUGACCGGCCACACUGGGACUGAGAUACGGCCCAGACUCCUACGGGAGGCAGCAGUGGGGAAUAUUGCACAAUGGGCGCAAGCCUGAUGCAGCGACGCCGCGUGAGGGAUGACGGCCUUCGGGUUGUAAACCUCUUUCAGCACAGACGAAGCGCAAGUGACGGUAUGUGCAGAAGAAGGACCGGCCAACUACGUGCCAGCAGCCGCGGUAAUACGUAGGGUCCGAGCGUUGUCCGGAAUUACUGGGCGUAAAGAGCUCGUAGGUGGUUUGUCGCGUUGUUCGUGAAAUCUC